RNAcentral lists this long non-coding RNA (1654 nucleotides) under Salvia miltiorrhiza (redroot sage). RNAcentral's name for it is "long non-coding RNA (SMIL_LNC006093)". Lineage: Eukaryota; Viridiplantae; Streptophyta; Magnoliopsida; Lamiales; Lamiaceae. The record is from RNAcentral.
UUGGUAUUAUAUAUGUAGGUUUUGUGUAUAAGUCCUCGUAAAAUCCUGAACAAGUCGAUCGAUAAAUAUAAUCAGUAACAUAUUUCAGAUGGAAAAUAUAUACUAAAGUAGAAGUAUCUACAAGUAAAAAAAAGAAAGAAAAAAAAAGUAGAAGUAUCCAUAAUAUACACACUACGGCAUACAAUAUCAUUACCUCAAGAGAGAGAGAGAGAAUUGAAGUUGGAGGUUUGUAUGGUGUAUUGCCAAUCAUUUCAGCAGCUGACUUAUGGACCGACAAAUCGGGCUCAAACAAGGGGACCCUGCUGCUUUGUCACACCCAACUUUAAUCUCCAAUUUGAAAAGAAAANAAAAAGGGUAGCAAUUAUUUAAUUAAAUAGUACAUGGGCUAAUUGUGUAGGCAAAUAAAAGCGAUCAAAUUAAGAAAAACCGUUUCUCAUCAAGUGUUGAAUUAACAAUAUAAUUAUGUAAUUUGAUCAAUCUAAUCUGUAUCUCUUUCAACAACUCCCUUAUUAUAUUUUUGACCUUUUGGCACUUAAUUACCUUUAUGCAUUUCCUGUCUCCAUUCUCCUUUUACUUUUUUGCUUUUGUCUGAAUAUAUAUCAUUCAAGAUCCCACAAAUUCUUCUUGUCUUUCUGCACAAUAUAAAUUCACCCAUAAUUGUGCUCCUCUCCAAUAUCUCUGUAAUUAUUGUUUGCAGAUUUCAUGGAGAUUUUGAAUCCUAAUUCUACUUGCUUGGAACUAUCCAUAGCCAUGCCGGGCUUCUCCUCUUCCCCAUCUUCUUCCGGUGAGACUGCAACCUCUCUCUCUCUCUCCUUCGCUUCUUUGUGUGUGUCAAUUACCUUUUCAAUUUCUUGAAGUUUAAGUUUGAUCAUCAACUUCGAUUCUUCUUUUUCACAUAUAUCCUGUUGACAGAAUUAGGGUUUCUGCGAAAGAAAAAUUUACAUCGGUUUUUUCUUUUGAUGUUAAUUUCUUCUUCUUUUCUAAAGAGGUGUCGACGUCAUAUAUUUUAGGUAUUUUAAUUUCUUGCAUGAUGGUAGCCGAUCACGAAUUGAAGGAGUGAAAUGAAAUCCCUUCUUUUAUUCUCCUAUAUAUAUAUACUUAUUCUACCAAAGUUUUUAUUCUCUGCAUUUUCGCCAAAAAAAAAAAAAAAAAAAAGAGUUAUAAUUCUGUGCAUGGUAUAUCUAUAAAAUAGAUGCCUUUUCAAGUUUGAUCCACUAUUUUUGUCGAAUAAGACAAUAUUCUAUAAAUGCCCAAAUUUAACAAGAAAUAUUUGAUAUACGUACAUAUAUAUAAUAUAGAGGCAAAAGGUGAGAUGAAAUUACUGGACAUGAAUGAAGCGCCGUCAAGAUCAGAAGAAGAAUGCGUGGAAGAAGAAGACGAAGACUGCCCAUACGGCGGCGGAGGCCCGAUUCCGAGGAAGAAACUCCGCCUCACAAAAGACCAGUCUCGUCGUCUUGAGCAAAGCUUCCUACAAAAUCAAGCCUUAAACCCCGUACGGAUCGAUCUUGUGUGUGUGUGUGUGUGUGGUUUCUAGAAUGAAUGAAAUCAAUUUCUUACACUGCAGAAAGAGAAGGAGGCUUUGGCAGUGGAAUUGAGAUUGAAGCCAAGGCAAGUGGAGGUGUGGUUUCAGAACCGUAGAGCAAGGUACACUUAU